UCCUGGUUCAGGACGAACGCUGGCGGCGCGCCUAACACAUGCAAGUCGAACGAGAGAGAGGGAGCUUGCUUCCUCAAUCGAGUGGCGAACGGGUGAGUAACGCGUGAGGAACCUGCCUCAAAGAGUGGGACAACAGUUGGAAACGACUGCUAAUACCGCAUAAGCCCACAGCUCGGCAUCGAGCAGAGGGAAAAGGAGCAAUCCGCUUUGAGAUGGCCUCGCGUCCGAUUAGCUAGUUGGUGAGGUAACGGCCCACCAAGGCAACGAUCGGUAGCCGGACUGAGAGGUUGAACGGCCACAUUGGGACUGAGACACGGCCCAGACUCCUACGGGAGGCAGCAGUGGGGAAUAUUGCACAAUGGGGGAAACCCUGAUGCAGCGACGCCGCGUGGAGGAAGAAGGUCUUCGGAUUGUAAACUCCUGUUGUUGAGGAAGAUAAUGACGGUACUCAACAAGGAAGUGACGGCUAACUACGUGCCAGCAGCCGCGGUAAAACGUAGGUCACAAGCGUUGUCCGGAAUUACUGGGUGUACAGGGAGCGCACGCGGGAACACAAGUUGGAACUGAAAUCUAUGGGCUCAACCCAUAAACUGCCUUUCACAACUGUCUCUCUUGACGUAGUGCCCAGGUACGCGCAAUCCCCGGUGCUACGCUGGAAUGCGUAGAUAUCGGGAGGAACACCAGUGGCGAAGCCGGCCUACUGGGCACCAACUGACGCUGAGGCUCGAAAGUGUGGGUAGCANACAGGAUUAGAUACCCUGGUAGUCCACACCGUAAACGAUGAUUACUAGGUGUUGGAGGAUUGACCCCUUCAGUGCCGCAGUUAACACAAUAAGUAAUCCACCUGGGGAGUACGACCGCAAGGUUGAAACUCAAAGGAAUUGACGGGGGCCCGCACAAGCAGUGGAGUAUGUGGUUUAAUUCGACGCAACGCGAAGAACCUUACCAAGUCUUGACAUCCUGCGACGCACAUAGAAAUAUGUGUUUCCUUCGGGACGCAGAGACAGGUGGUGCAUGGUUGUCGUCAGCUCGUGUCGUGAGAUGUUGGGUUAAGUCCCGCAACGAGCGCAACCCUUACUGUCAGUUACUACGCAAGAGGACUCUGGCAGGACUGCCGUUGACAAAACGGAGGAAGGUGGGGAUGACGUCAAAUCAUCAUGCCCUUUAUGACUUGGGCUACACACGUACUACAAUGGCGUUAAACAAAGAGAAGCAAGACCGCGAGGUGGAGCAAAACUCAGAAACAACGUCCCAGUUCGGACUGCAGGCUGCAACUCGCCUGCACGAAGUCGGAAUUGCUAGUAAUCGUGGAUCAGCAUGCCACGGUGAAUACGUUCCCGGGCCUUGACACACCGCCCGUC
Molecule: ribosomal RNA, 1361 nt
Filed under: uncultured bacterium
Lineage: Bacteria
Description: 16S ribosomal RNA
Rfam family: Bacterial small subunit ribosomal RNA
Source: RNAcentral